UCUGUUCCCCCUAUUCUGCAGGGGUCACACCACCCAGGCCCUCAGGCUGUGGAGGCUCUGGCAGUUGGUCUUGCCACAGAGAAAAGGAUGGAGAGAAGGCUUCCGGACUGGAAGAGGCUCCCUGGGCCCCUUCCUUGAUUGGUGAUUGCUGGGGCUCACUGAGGUCAAGAGAGACCUAGCAGCUUCCUGGAAUAAAACAAAGGGAGAAAUGCCAUAAAGGGUUAAAUGCAAUGGUAUGUUGAUAUACUAUAAACAAAUAAUUUUUUUUUUUCCGAGAUGGAGUCUUGCUCUGUCACCCAGGCUGGAGUUCAGUGGCACGAUCUUGGCUCACUGCAACCUCCACCUCCCGGGUUCAAGAGAUUCUUCUGCCUCAGCCUCCGAGUAGCUGGAUUGCAGGCACCCGCCACCACAUCCAGCUAAUUUUUGUAUUUUUAGUAGAGAUGGGGUUUCACCAUGUUGGCCAGGCUGGCCUCAAAUGAUCCACCUGCCUCAGCCUCCCAGAGUGCUGGGAUUACAGCCACAGUGCCCGGCCAGGAUUUGUUUUUGAAUGUUAAUUCAUGAUGACUAUAUUAGUUGAGUGGCCCAAAAAUGUAACCCAAGAAAAAAACCAUCUGAUAACAGGGUCUCCCUUCAACCUUGUAUCCUCCUGGUAGUCUGAAGUCCGUCAUUUGUACCUCUAGUCUACCAAAUAUGAAGGUCAAGGGCAAGUGGCCUUCUUGUGCUGGCUGUGGGUAGUGACUGUGCUUGGCUGUGGCUCCAGGUUUGUCCCACUGAGCCUCUGCAGGGCUCCCGAGUCAGCAUCUCUCUCCUGGACCCUGUGCCUUGCCCCAGCAAGGAGUCCCCCAAGGGGCAUCGGGGUUCCAGCACCACAGGUGUGCUAGGGGACUCUGGAAGAGGUCUGGAUGGGAGGGCAGUUCUAACAAUGAGCAAGACACCCCGGCUUCCCUAUCCUUAAAGCUGGCCAGCCUGGAGAGGAGGUCUUCCGCCUUCCCCCUCCCGGCCCAGGCUUCAGGGACCACGCCACCCACUGCCCUCUAUCCCAUAACGCCACCGCUCCUGUGUGGAACCUAGAUGCUCAUGAAUCUACUUGCAGCAGCCCCCCCAUCCCAGUCCUUUUCUCCCUCCCUCCACUUACUCCCAUUGCCGUGUACUUAGAUGGUUUUCUCCCCAGCAGUGAACGCACAUGCCUGAAGUCAAACCCUCCUUCUAGCUCCUUCCAGAGGGGACAAGCAGAAUGGUGCAGUAGAAAGACUACAACUUUUGAAAUCAGACAGCCUGGGGUUUGAAUCUCCAGCAAGUUCCUUAGCCAAUCUGAGAACUCAAGUUUUUCAACUGUAGGAUGUACCUACAAUGUCCACUUAGCAAGUAUUUAGUUGAGAAUUUAAAUAUAUAUCUAAAAGAUCUGGCAACUGCAGGCACUUAAUAAAUGGUCCCUAUUGCUGGUAUUGCUCAGGCAGUGUCUGGCUGCUUCUUUGCCAAGGGAGUGGGAAUACCCUGGUACCCCACACUGGCACAGUAUGGCCACACUCAAGUUCCAAGCACCCUGAUUAGGUGCUUAGCCUCAGAUGUUAUGUAUGGCAUUAGUGGCUUUUACAAAUCUGGGAUUUCAACUGGCAAGAUAUUUUAAAGCCAGCAUUGGCAAGAGUGCAUGGGAAAAAUCAUUGACCCCUGGUUCGUAGGGUGCACGCUUUGUCUGGUAAAAUCUUUCUAGGGGAACAUCUAGAGAUAUGUAUUAAAACAGCUCUGCCUGCAGGAAUUCAUAGAAAGUUGUGCAAAGAAUUACAUAUCUGGAUGUUCAUGACAGCAUUAUUUGCAAUACUAAACAAAUAAAAAAUGUCCUCAUCGCUCCUCACCUAACACUAGGGAUUGUCGAGAAAAGGCACAGUAUAUCCUGCUAUAAAAGUAACAUUGUGGCAGGCUGGGUGUGGUGGCUCAU
Macaca fascicularis (crab-eating macaque) is the source of this 1936-nucleotide long non-coding RNA. The record is from Ensembl. Lineage: Eukaryota; Metazoa; Chordata; Mammalia; Primates; Cercopithecidae.